This 335-nucleotide unclassified non-coding RNA is filed under the name soil metagenome. Its description in RNAcentral is "partial contains 5.8S ribosomal RNA, internal transcribed spacer 2, and large subunit ribosomal RNA". The stretch from base 1 to 120 matches the Rfam family "5.8S ribosomal RNA", at positions 35 to 154 of the family's 154-position model. The record is from RNAcentral.
GAUGAAGAACGCAGCGAAAUGCGAUAAGUAAUGUGAAUUGCAGAAUUCAGUGAAUCAUCGAAUCUUUGAACGCACAUUGCGCCCGCCAGUAUUCUGGCGGGCAUGCCUGUUCGAGCGUCAUUUCAACCAUCAAGCCCCCGGCUUGUGUUGGGGACCUGCGGCUGCCGCAGGCCCUGAAAACCAGUGGCGGGCUCGCUAGUCACUCCGAGCGUAGUAAUACAUCUCGCUCAGGGCGUGCUGCGGUUUCCGGCCGUUAAAAAAGCCUUAUUUACCCAAGGUUGACCUCGGAUCAGGUAGGAAGACCCGCUGAACUUAAGCAUAUCAUAAGCGGAGGA